RNAcentral lists this ribosomal RNA (1463 nucleotides) under Lacticaseibacillus zeae. Its description in RNAcentral is "bacterial SSU rRNA". It matches the Rfam family "Bacterial small subunit ribosomal RNA". The record is from RNAcentral. Lineage: Bacteria; Bacillati; Bacillota; Bacilli; Lactobacillales; Lactobacillaceae.
UGGCGGCGUGCCUAAUACAUGCAAGUCGAACGAGUUUUGGUCGAUGAACGGUGCUUGCAUCGUGAUUCAACUUAAAACGAGUGGCGGACGGGUGAGUAACACGUGGGUAACCUGCCCUUAAGUGGGGGAUAACAUUUGGAAACAGAUGCUAAUACCGCAUAAAUCCAAGAACCGCAUGGUUCUUGGCUGAAAGAUGGCGUAAGCUAUCGCUUUUGGAUGGACCCGCGGCGUAUUAGCUAGUUGGUGAGGUAACGGCUCACCAAGGCGAUGAUACGUAGCCGAACUGAGAGGUUGAUCGGCCACAUUGGGACUGAGACACGGCCCAAACUCCUACGGGAGGCAGCAGUAGGGAAUCUUCCACAAUGGACGCAAGUCUGAUGGAGCAACGCCGCGUGAGUGAAGAAGGCUUUCGGGUCGUAAAACUCUGUUGUUGGAGAAGAAUGGUCGGCAGAGUAACUGUUGUCGGCGUGACGGUAUCCAACCAGAAAGCCACGGCUAACUACGUGCCAGCAGCCGCGGUAAUACGUAGGUGGCAAGCGUUAUCCGGAUUUAUUGGGCGUAAAGCGAGCGCAGGCGGUUUUUUAAGUCUGAUGUGAAAGCCCUCGGCUUAACCGAGGAAGCGCAUCGGAAACUGGGAAACUUGAGUGCAGAAGAGGACAGUGGAACUCCAUGUGUAGCGGUGAAAUGCGUAGAUAUAUGGAAGAACACCAGUGGCGAAGGCGGCUGUCUGGUCUGUAACUGACGCUGAGGCUCGAAAGCAUGGGUAGCGAACAGGAUUAGAUACCCUGGUAGUCCAUGCCGUAAACGAUGAAUGCUAGGUGUUGGAGGGUUUCCGCCCUUCAGUGCCGCAGCUAACGCAUUAAGCAUUCCGCCUGGGGAGUACGACCGCAAGGUUGAAACUCAAAGGAAUUGACGGGGGCCCGCACAAGCGGUGGAGCAUGUGGUUUAAUUCGAAGCAACGCGAAGAACCUUACCAGGUCUUGACAUCUUUUGAUCACCUGAGAGAUCAGGUUUCCCCUUCGGGGGCAAAAUGACAGGUGGUGCAUGGUUGUCGUCAGCUCGUGUCGUGAGAUGUUGGGUUAAGUCCCGCAACGAGCGCAACCCUUAUGACUAGUUGCCAGCAUUCAGUUGGGCACUCUAGUAAGACUGCCGGUGACAAACCGGAGGAAGGUGGGGAUGACGUCAAAUCAUCAUGCCCCUUAUGACCUGGGCUACACACGUGCUACAAUGGAUGGUACAACGAGUUGCGAGACCGCGAGGUCAAGCUAAUCUCUUAAAGCCAUUCUCAGUUCGGACUGUAGGCUGCAACUCGCCUACACGAAGUCGGAAUCGCUAGUAAUCGCGGAUCAGCACGCCGCGGUGAAUACGUUCCCGGGCCUUGUACACACCGCCCGUCACACCAUGAGAGUUUGUAACACCCGAAGCCGGUGGCGUAACCCUUUUAGGGAGCGAGCCGUCUAAGG